UACGUAGUGAGCUAGCGUUGUCCGGAAUCAUUGGGCGUAAAGCGCGCGUAGGCGGCCCGGUAAGUCCGCUGUGAAAGUCAAAGGCUCAACCUUUGAAUGUCAGCGGAUACUGCCGGGCUAGAGUCCGGAAGAGGCGAGUGGAACUCCUGGUGUAGCGGUGGAAUGCGCAGAUAUCAGGAAGAACACCAACGGCGAAGGCAGCUCGCUGGGACGGAACUGACGCUAAGGCGCGAAAGCGUGGGGAGCGAACAGG
RNAcentral lists this ribosomal RNA (253 nucleotides) under uncultured bacterium. Its description in RNAcentral is "partial 16S ribosomal RNA". It matches the Rfam family "Bacterial small subunit ribosomal RNA", at positions 524 to 776 of the family's 1533-position model. The record is from RNAcentral.